CCCCCCGAUCCCAUUACAGUAGGUUCAAGGGAUAUAUGACCACAGUAAAAAGGUUCUAUAGUAUAGCUUCUUGAACCCCUUACUCUCUCUUAGUACAAGGAUUCAAGAUUACAAUGACCUAUGUAAAAGUUUCUAGGGCACAGAUAUAAGCUCUCAAUCCCUUUACCACCCCAUCCAACCCCUUAUAUUAGGUUCAAAGGGGUAUUUAAAAGGUAUUACAUCUUAAGAGGCGACAAAACACCCGAUCCAACCCCUUAUAUUAGGUUCAAAAGGGGUAUUUAAAAGGUAUUACAUCUUAAGAGGCGACAAAACACCCGAUCCAACCCCUUAUAUUAGGUUCAAAGGGGUUUUUAAAAGGUAUUACAUCUUAAGAGACGACAAAACACCCGAUCCAACCCCUUAUAUUAGGUUCAAAAGGGGUAUUUAAUAGGUACUUCAUCUUAAGAGGCGACAGAGGUCCUUCUAUACGGCCCCUGCAGCCAUGUUACACAACGGGCGAGGAAAAAGUCAGAGCCCGUUACCUUUAAGCCGGUAAUUAAAGGUGCGCUGGGGACAGGUGGCGCCCGUACAACACCGGAGCGCCCUCGCGUACAACUCUUUCUGGCUACCUGAUUUUUUUUCCUUUUUUUAUUUACGGUUCCAUAUUUUUUUUACUGAUUGGGUUGAUUUUUUUCUUUUUUUAUAUUCCCUCUUUUUUUUACUUUCUC
Long non-coding RNA from Eriocheir sinensis (Chinese mitten crab), 707 nucleotides. RefSeq lists it as uncharacterized. Lineage: Eukaryota; Metazoa; Arthropoda; Malacostraca; Decapoda; Varunidae. The record is from RefSeq and is a predicted model, not a curated record. The transcript is spliced from 4 exons.